This 950-nucleotide ribosomal RNA is filed under the name uncultured archaeon. Its description in RNAcentral is "bacterial SSU rRNA". It matches the Rfam family "Archaeal small subunit ribosomal RNA", at positions 1 to 940 of the family's 1478-position model. The record is from RNAcentral.
UUCGGUUGAUCCCGCCGGACCCGACUGCUAUUUGGGUGAGGAUAAGCCAUGCGAGUUGAAUGGGAUACCUAAAGUUCCCAUAGCAAACUGCUCAGUAACACAUGAUCAACUUGCCCUAUAGAGAAAAAUAACCUCGGGAAACUGAGGAUAAUGUUUCAUAACUGAAUUGGCUUGGAAAAGUUUUUCAGUGAAAGGGAUAAAAUAAAUGGUUUUUAUCUGCUAUAGGAUAGGAUCGUGUUCGAUUAUGGUUGUUGGUGAGGUAAUGGCUCACCAAGCCGAUAAUCGAUAGGGGCCGUGAGGGCGGGAGCCCCGAGAUGGGUACUGAGACAACGACCCAGGCCUUACGAGGCGCAGCAGGCGCGAAACCUCCGCAAUACACGAAAGUGUGACGGGGUUACCCAAAGUGUUCAAUUUUGAACUGUGGUAGGUGAGUAAUGUUCCCUACUAGAAAGGAGAGGGCAAGGCUGGUGCCAGCCGCCGCGGUAAAACCAGCUCUUCAAGUGGUCGGGAUAAUUAUUGGGCUUAAAGUGUCCGUAGCCGGUUUAGUAAGUUCCUGGUAAAAUCGGGUAGCUUAACUAUCUAUAUGCUAGGAAUACUGCUAUACCAGAGGGCGGGAGAGGUCUGAGGUACUACAGGGGUAGGGGUGAAAUCUUAUAAUCCUUGUAGGACCACCAGUGGCGAAGGCGUCAGACUGGAACGCGCCUGACGGUGAGGGACGAAAGCCAGGGGAGCGAACCGGAUUAGAUACCCGGGUAGUCCUGGCCGUAAACGAUGCAUACUAGGUGAUGGCACGGCCAUGAGCCGUGUCAGUGCCGUAGGGAAACCGUUAAGUGUGCCGCCUGGGAAGUACGGUCGCAAGGCUAAAACUUAAAGGAAUUGGCGGGGGAGCACCACAAAGGGUGAAGCCUGCGGUUCAAUUGGAGUCAACGCCGGAAAUCACUAGUGCGGCC